CCUACGGGGAGCAGCAGUGGGGAAUAUUGCACAAUGGGGGAAACCCUGAUGCAGCGACGCCGCGUGAGCGAUGAAGUAUUUCGGUAUGUAAAGCUCUAUCAGCAGGGAAGAAAAUGACGGUAACUGACUAAGAAGCCCCGGCUAACUACGUGCCAGCAGCCGCGGUAAUACGUAGGGGGCAAGCGUUAUCCGGAUUUAUUGGGUUUAAAGGGAGCGUAGACGGGGUGUCAAGUCAGAUGUGAAAGUCCGCGGCUCAACCCUCAUACUGCAUUUGAUACUGGUCUGCUGGAGUGCAGGCGAGGCAGGCGGAAUUCCUAGUGUAGCGGUGAAAUGCUUAGAUAUUACGAAGAACUCCAAUGGCGAAGGCAGCCUGCUGGAC
Molecule: ribosomal RNA, 379 nt
Filed under: uncultured bacterium
Lineage: Bacteria
Description: partial 16S ribosomal RNA
Rfam family: Bacterial small subunit ribosomal RNA
Source: RNAcentral